Cephus cinctus (wheat stem sawfly) is the source of this 1366-nucleotide long non-coding RNA. RefSeq lists it as uncharacterized. The transcript has 9 exons. Lineage: Eukaryota; Metazoa; Arthropoda; Insecta; Hymenoptera; Cephidae. The record is from RefSeq and is a predicted model, not a curated record.
AUGCUUGGUCGAGAUGAUUGUCUUUUGGAUUCAUAUAUGUCAAGUGGCACGCGACAGCAGAACCAUAUCUCCUACAGAAAAUUCCUAACAAUAAAAUUACUAAAUCAAACAGUCAUGUUGUACAGCUGCGUAUUCUACUACACACAUAGCUAAGAUAGUCGCAUAUAUGAUAGUCACAUUUACGAUAUACUGACGUACGCAGCUCGGGUACCUGGCCGACUCCAUGCUUUAUGAAAAUCAAAUAUGAAAACAAUUAGGACCGUAAUCGUCAUUUCAAACAAGCUAAACGCGGAUGACUAAUGGAGUCUAAAUUUCUUUCAACAAUACGAUAUUCAACCAGGUGGACGCGUGUACGGAGUCCUUGGAUUUUGUAGGAUGUUUCGCACUGCCUCCUUUUAUUUCCUGUGGGACUUUGCAUCCGUUUCUUCGUCCCGUUCUUCAUGCUGCGAAUGCAUAUGAUCCCUCUGUAACUUCCGGUCUAAAAACAUUUUGGAUACUCUUUUGAGAGAUUUAUGCAAGAUUUUCAAAGUCACGUGUUGAUUAAACAAUGGAUAUUAAUCCCUAAAACCCAUUGUUUGAUAACGUGAUACUUUUGGCAGUUUUUCUGGUGCCAAUAAACACGUUUUCUUUGGCUGACACAAUUCCCAGUACAAUUCCAAGACUAUUGCAAUUACAGUCAACAAAGUUGGUACCACUUCCUGGAGACACCGUGAUCCCUGCUUCUAUUGACAGAGCCUGGGAUCUCAAGUAAAUUCUUCUCCUGGCAAUCCCUUAAGUGUGGAACUUGAAAAAUGACAAAUAGCCAUAAGAAGCCUGUACUGGAUAAAUUACAAGAGGAAUUAGUACUCCCAAUUAUGAUCAGUCUCCUUGCAGAGGAAGUACUUACUCUAGAUGAACGUUUCACCCUGUGUAACUGAACUGGACUUGUAACCCAUGAUCAAGGUUCAGGUUUGUUUGUAGAACUACCCCUAGAAUAUAGGGUCAAUAUUGAUUUCCAGUUGAGGAGAGAAAAGUACCUAGGGAUAAAGUCAAAGAUAGCCAAGAGUAGAAGGCAUUUGAAGGAAACACGAGCGCCAGGAGAACCAGUACUCUCUUUAAUCUCAUAAUCUGGAAAAAGGGUCAGGGAAUACAGGUCGACUCAACAAGGAAUGGUGGAUAGUCAUUUAUAUGGAAAUAUUCCUGGGAUAUAGAAGGCGUCUAUGACACCAUACGUGAUGGAAUUGACGUACGCACCUAUCCAUCCAUACAUGGGUUACCUAGAAACAUGAAAUUAAAAGGAAUGUCAGGAGGAUUACGGAUAUUGAAUAUUUUCGGAAUACUUUUCGGUUGAAUUCCCUUCAAGAGGGGCUUUUAAUUUGACUUUAUG